This 89-nucleotide transfer RNA is filed under the name Annulohypoxylon maeteangense. Its description in RNAcentral is "tRNA-Arg". It matches the Rfam family "tRNA". From Rfam's summary of the family: Transfer RNA (tRNA) molecules are approximately 80 nucleotides in length. Their secondary structure includes four short double-helical elements and three loops (D, anti-codon, and T loops). Further hydrogen bonds mediate the characteristic L-shaped molecular structure. tRNAs have two regions of fundamental functional importance: the anti-codon, which is responsible for specific mRNA codon recognition, and the 3' end, to which the tRNAs corresponding amino acid is attached (by aminoacyl-tRNA synthetases). tRNAs cope with the degeneracy of the genetic code in two manners: having more than one tRNA (with a specific anti-codon) for a particular amino acid; and 'wobble' base-pairing, i.e. permitting non-standard base-pairing at the 3rd anti-codon position. Lineage: Eukaryota; Fungi; Ascomycota; Sordariomycetes; Xylariales; Hypoxylaceae. The record is from RNAcentral.
GGUCCGUUGGCCCAAUGGUAAGGCGUCUGACUACGACUUCGAUCGAAGAGUCAAUCAGGAGAUUCUGGGUUCGACCCCCAGGCGGACCU